RNAcentral lists this transfer RNA (73 nucleotides) under Candidatus Falkowiibacteriota bacterium. RNAcentral describes it as "tRNA-Met". It matches the Rfam family "tRNA". Rfam says of the family: Transfer RNA (tRNA) molecules are approximately 80 nucleotides in length. Their secondary structure includes four short double-helical elements and three loops (D, anti-codon, and T loops). Further hydrogen bonds mediate the characteristic L-shaped molecular structure. tRNAs have two regions of fundamental functional importance: the anti-codon, which is responsible for specific mRNA codon recognition, and the 3' end, to which the tRNAs corresponding amino acid is attached (by aminoacyl-tRNA synthetases). tRNAs cope with the degeneracy of the genetic code in two manners: having more than one tRNA (with a specific anti-codon) for a particular amino acid; and 'wobble' base-pairing, i.e. permitting non-standard base-pairing at the 3rd anti-codon position. The record is from RNAcentral. Lineage: Bacteria; Candidatus Falkowiibacteriota.
GGCGGAGUAGCUCAGUUGGUAGAGCACAGGACUCAUAAGCCUGGUGUCGAGGGUUCGAUUCCCUCCUCCGCUA